GACGAACGCUGGCGGCGUGCUUAACACAUGCAAGUCGAACGAAGAGCGAUGGAAGCUUGCUUCUAUCAAUCUUAGUGGCGAACGGGUGAGUAACGCGUAAUCAACCUGCCCUUCAGAGGGGGACAACAGUUGGAAACGACUGCUAAUACCGCAUACGAUCUAACCUCGGCAUCGAGGAUAGAUGAAAGGUGGCCUCUACAUGUAAGCUAUCACUGAAGGAGGGGAUUGCGUCUGAUUAGCUAGUUGGAGGGGUAACGGCCCACCAAGGCGAUGAUCAGUAGCCGGUCUGAGAGGAUGAACGGCCACAUUGGGACUGAGACACGGCCCAGACUCCUACGGGAGGCAGCGUGGGGAAUCUUCCGCAAUGGACGAAAGUCUGACGGAGCAACGCCGCGUGAGUGAUGACGGCCUUCGGGUUGUAAAGCUCUGUUAAUCGGGACGAAAGGCCUUCUUGCGAAUAGUUAGAAGG
This 469-nucleotide ribosomal RNA is filed under the name Veillonella parvula. Its description in RNAcentral is "bacterial SSU rRNA". It matches the Rfam family "Bacterial small subunit ribosomal RNA", at positions 28 to 475 of the family's 1533-position model. The record is from RNAcentral. Lineage: Bacteria; Bacillati; Bacillota; Negativicutes; Veillonellales; Veillonellaceae.